AACCAUGUGGCGGGAUUCAGCACACACUGUCCUGUGCUCUAGUUUUCAGUGAGACUGGGCCAGCCACAAACCACUUCUAGUAGCCCCAAAGUUGACCACCCCUUUUUCUAACAGUUUCCUCUCCUGCAGAAACCUGAGGCCUCCGGAUCUCAUCAGGCAGAGGAAUCUACAUAAUGUGACAAGGAAUCUACAUAAUGUGACGACUUGACAAUUCCACACUCCACGUUCUCCAGGUGCCUGCGUGUGGCGUGGUGAGCGCUCACCCUGUGAGCCAGCAUGGGACAAGCACUCAGGACAGUUUGCUGGAUGAAGCUGAGACACUGGGUCACUGGGUCACUCUGGCUGCCGAGCAGGUGAAAGAGUUUUUCAGAUGUGCAGCGAGGUGUACCCAGUACAGGCCCGAGCAGAGGGAGCCUCGCAGCAGCUGAGGGAAGAAGGGGCUCAUGUGUAGGAAGAACCCCAGGCAGCCACGGUCUUGCCUCUUGCUUGCUCUACUGCCUCCAGUUCAGACUGGGGGUCAAGGCCCCUGUGGAAGGCAUGCCCUCCCAGCACCCACAUCCCAACACGUGUGUUCAGACUGGUGAGGAGGACCCUGCUCCUUGACACACUCAGCGAGCCCACUCCUGGACUUUGCUGUCCUCAGAGACCAGGGGCGUCAGGGUCUCAACGAUGCCAGGUCAGGGCAUGCAGCACUGCUGCUGGGAGUCAGAAGGACUGUUGGCACAACGCCGAUGCUGGUUGCUUGGUGAGGGAAGAGGGAAGCACGUGAUAGGGACCAUCCAGAUGUCAGAUUCUUCAGGGCCUCCUCCUAGAGGACCCCAGUCACCAUGUGUCAAACAGAGUAACCUUCCAGGAUGGCACAUGUGGUCUGACAAGGGGCUUUGGAAGGUAGUUUCAGUCCGCUGUUGUUUUUUGUAUGGAUGACCUGGGGCCUCUGGGCUUUAGUUUUCCCAUCUGCAAAAUGGAGAUGUUGAUGUGUAAUUUUGAGACAGACCAUCUAAAAGCCAUCGGCAAGAAUGGAGGUCAAAUGAUUUCGAUAAUUGCAGCUGCACACGGGGCUAAAAUAGUUCAAUCUGAGAGUUGAGGGGGUGGGAGGUGAGAAUGGCCUUAGAUGAGGGGGCCUCACUGCCACUGAGGUCACCACCUUUGCCAGCACAUGGAGACGGGCAUGGUGACCUCCUCCCACCUCUGGUUGCUCAUCACUUUGAGGCUUUGGCUCCUCGGAUUUCCCUCAGCACUAAUCACUCUUUUUUUUUUUUUAUUGCUUAUGGUCGUUUGUUGCUCUUCUCUAUUUAGUUAUGAAGUUGACCUUAAAUGCAGUCCAUAACAUCCUAUCCUUAUCCUCUUUUUUAGUGAAUUUUUUCCAACAGAUAGUUAUGGCAGUUUCAAAGCUUUAGCUGCAAAUUUCAGAAAUCCUAAAUCAAGAUAGCUUAUAUAAUAUUGGAGAGUUAAUAGUUUGUUAUUAAAUGGCCCAGAGACAGAUCUUCAGCCAAAGUUUGAUCCAGAACCAAAGAUGACAUCUGGGACCAGUUUCGUUUCUCUCUUCUGUCCUCCCUCAUACUAGCUUUUCUUCAAGCUGUUCCCCAUCAUGAUCCUGAGAUGACCACCGUGACUGCCAACUGCUUCAGUGUUCUCCUCCAUCAGGAAAGAGUGCUUGCCCUUCCCAGCAAAACCCUCAAGAUUUAUUUAUGUAUUUUUCUUGCAGAGCUGGGGAUGGAACCCAAGGCCUUGUGUGUGCUAGGCAAGCGCUCGACCACUGAGCUACUUUCCCAGUUCCCUCAGGAUUGACUUUGACUGGUGAAUUUAGGCUACAUAUCCACUUUGAAUAAGUUUCUGGCCUAGGGAAAUAAUGCACUGAGUAAUUUAGCCUAAGUGACAUCCCCCAUUGCUGGGGAUGGAGGUAGGUUUCAUUUUUUUUCAGAACCUCAUUUCGGCGCUGAUAAGGAAGCGAAUGUGGAGACUCUGAUGCUGAGGAGGCCACUAACCAUGCUGCCUUCCAUGAAGAACCACAAGGCCCAAAUGCUUGAAGACUUUUCCAUUUGAAAACCAGCGUGCGUACUGCUUAAACCAAGGUCAAGGCAUCUGAUGUGACACCAAGUGGCUUUCAUCAACAGGCAUGAGGAGCAGUCUGAACCUUUGCAUUUUCUGAUGUUACAAAACACUGGGUUCUGUACUUCAGUGCUCUCGCCAGGGAAGCUUUCUUGUUUGUGCAUUUCAGCCAUUUUCAACAUGCUCUAAAUUGAAACAGAGAAUGUAUUUUUUUCUUUCUAGUGUUAAAAUCCAAUAAGCAGCGGCACACUGCAGGAAGUCGGUCUAGCCACAGCAAAUCUGUACUUGUUUUUGUGAGAGAGGAUGGGAAGAAUGAAUAUUUGCCCUGUGGCAUCAAUUUCCUGUUUAAUGUUCUCCAAGAAGUGUUUGGAAAAUGCCCAGCUACACAGAUGUACGUAAAUACCAUACAUAACUUGUUUCUGAGUGGGGGGGAGCAGUCUGUGAAGUGGGGACAGGGCUGGCUUGCUUGCCUCCAGAUAGCUGGUAAGCAACUACCUUUGACCUGGUGAUCUGGGGACUAGAUUAUCCGAGUUUGGCACUGGAAGGAAAGCAGCAUAGGAAUAGCGUGGCUUCUUAGACUAUGUUCUUACUCGUGUGUGUGUGUGUGUGUGUGUGUGUGUGUGUAUCAGGGAUAGAACCCAGGGGUGCUUAAUCACUGAGCCACAUCUCCCUUUUUAAAAUUUUAUUUUGAGAUUUUGAGAGAGGGCUUUGCUAAGUGGCUGAGGCUGGCCUUGAACUGGUGAUUCUCCUGGAGUGGCUUCAAUUACAGGUGUGUGCUAUCGCACCUGGCUUGUUCUUAUUCAUUUAAGGCUACUUUUAUCCCAAAGUUUGCAUAUUCUUAUUGGAGAUGGCCUAUAAGAAAUGUAUAUUAAGAGGAUGGUUUUUAAAAACAAAACAGUUCCCUGCAAACAGAAGCCCAUCUGUAAGACGGACAGACACAAAUCUGUUUGUGCAAAGGUGUGCACACACUGCCUAGCGCCUCUUCCAGGGCAGUUUGUAUGCCCCACACAUGCCUUCAGAUCAUCUUAUAUAAAAGGCGAUGGCUGGGUUGGAGGACCAAACUCUUAUUUUUGUUUUAGCAACCAAGCUACAGGGCUACUCUAGAAGUUAAGACCUUGAUCCACAAAGGAAGCUUUAGAGGUAAAGAAUCUGUCCUCUCAUAUAUAAUUUUCAGAUGCCUCCUAAUAAGGCAAGGUGAGAAAUGAAGCCUAUGACCUGUUAAACACCUACGAUGUGAACGGAAGGCCUUUCUAUACAUUGUGACCCAUCCUCACAACAUCCUGUGUUGUGCUCCCUCUCUCCUCCUCUUACAGAUGAGGAAACUGGGACUUAGAGAAGGUAAACUACAGCUCAGGGGCUAGUGAUGCCUGCAUUAAACUCAGUGCGGGUCUGGUUGGUCCUGAAGCCUUAUACAUUCUUCUCAGAUUUAGAAACUGUUACUCUAGCAUUCACAGAUGAGCCUCAGAAAAUUCUCAAGAGCCUAGUUUUCUGUGUAAAUCUGUAAGUGUGUGUUCAUGUGUUCCUAACACUCAUGGGAUUUAUCAGCUGUGUUUCUGGAGCCUGGCACAGACUUCUUCCCUCCCCUUUCCUUGUGCACCCCCCAACCUCAGCCCCUGGAAACUGCCACUCUGGUCUCUACUUCUGUGUGCUCAACUGACUUAGAUUCCACCUGAACAUGAGAUAACAUAAGACAUGUCUUUCUGUGUGUUUUAUUUCAUUUAAUGUAAAGUCCUCCAGGUUUGACUAUGUUGUCACAAGUGACACACUUUCCUGUUUUUUAAUUAUUUGUUAGUGGCUGAAGAAUACUCAGUUGUGUGUAUAUACCAUGUUUUUAAAACACACCCUUUUCACCAUGAACACUUUGUUUCCAAAUCUUGGUCACUGUGAAUGAUGGUGUCUUAAAAAGAGGCGGCCCACCUCCCUUCAGCAUAUCGAUUUCAUUCCUUCGGGUCCACCCGGGAGUGGGAUCACUGGAGUAUGUGGUGUUUCUACUUUUGCUUUUUUUUUUUUUUUGGAGAAACCUCCACACUGCUUUCCACAAUGGCUGUGCUAAUUUGCAACACCACCAACAGUGAACAGGGUUCCCUGAGCCCCGCAGCCUGGCCAACAUGUGUUAAUCUUUCAUCUUUUUGAUAACCGCCAGUGGCACAGGUGUGAGUUGAUACCUCAUUGUGGUUUUAAUUUGCAUUUCUCUGAUGAUUAGAGAUGUUGAGCAUUUUCGCAUAUCACUUUUGGCCAUUUGUGAUUCUUCUUUUGAGAAAUGUCCUAUUCCAGUCCUUUGCUCAUUUUAAAAUGGGGUUGUUUCGUUGUUGUUGAGUAGGCUGAGUCCCUGGUAUGUUUUGGACACUAGCCCCUCUCCUCUGAUGCAUGGUGUGCAGAUGUUUCCUUCUAUCCCUGGAGCUGUCUUUUUACUACUGUGGCCCUCGCUGGGCAGAAGUUCUGGUGUCCCAUGAUUCUGUCUUUGUUGCUGUCAUUGCUUGUGUUCUCAGGGUCCUACCCAAGAAAUCCCUGCCCUGAUCAAUGUUUUGGAGCUUUUCCUGUUUCCUUCAGGUAUAGUUUCAGGUCUCCCAUCAGAGUCUUGGAAAGGUAGGCACAUGAUAAACAUCUGUCCAGUGAUCAAUAGGGGUUCAUGACACAAAGGUCUGGGAGCCACUGAACCUGGUAUGGUUACACUUGUCCCGUCAUCUAUGCAAUGGCUUUGUUUUGGAUACACGCAAUCAUUCUUUAAAAAACAAAUGUUUAAAAAUGCAAGAUUUUGUUAACAGGCCAUUUGAAACUAUUUGAUAUUCAUAUAAAAAGAUUAAAAAGUUUAGACAAUAUCGUCCAAGGAUGGUUUUUCUUAAAGCACACCAGUGCAAAGGUCCCUGGAAACUCUGAAGACCCACACCUAGAACAGAGAUAUCAUGUGAGCUACAAACUCACACCACAUUUGUAAUUUGAAACUUUGUAUUAGCCACAUUUUAAGAAGUAAAAAGAAAUAGGUAAAACUAAUUUUAAUAAUACAUUUUGUUUAACUCAAUACAUCUAUCUACAAAUAUUAGCAUUUCAGUGGGCGAGCAAUGGCAAAGAUCUUUGAGUUAUUUUACAUUAUUUUUUUCACACUCAAUUUUACAUAUUCGAUGUGUAUUUUACCCUCAUUUCAAGGGUCACCUGGGUUUGUGGCCACCAUAAGGAAGAAGGCCACAUGGAGACUUGGGUAGGUAAAAGCCGGGGCAAGGCUGACCAAGCUGGAGAAGGGUUUGGGCCUGUGGGGACACACUUUGGUGAUCCCAGGUAGAGGGGUGUUGGGUCAGGCCGCUGCUCACGUUGCCAAUAUUGCAGAUUUUCAGGUGGUUAUGGAGGCACAGCCCCCGGCAUUUCAGCAGAAGUCUUCCUUUUCCCAGAGUCGCUGUCUUUUCCUUUGAAACGGACGCACAGAUCCUGCGCACACUAGGGGAAGAUGUGAUGCCCAGUAACUAAGUUACACCCCAUAAUUACAAUAAUUUGUUCUUCACCUGGAACAGAGGAUCCAGGUGUUUUAUGGCACAGGAUGGAGGUAGUCCUGGCCCCUUGGGGGAAGAGGACAGGACAGAGGCCCCAGAGCUGCAUCCCUCCCCACCUGAGGAUAAAAGAAGGAGGCUGCAGGGAGCCUGAGGACAGAGGUUUGAGGACAGACCAGGCCACAGAAGAGCCUGGAGUUUUGUUCUGACCUUGACCAGCUUUGCUUAUAGUUCCUUCCUGUCUCUUGAUGUCAUCAAGGGUUUCGCACAGGGUGUGGCCCUGCUCUCUCCAAAGCCCUGGCAUUCAGCACACUUACCACACCUCUGUCACCAGCCAGAGCAGCCUCGUGAUCUGGAAACCACACUCAUUCUGAACUUUUCAGUGACUCCACAUGACGGGCAUAAUGUUGUCUUCCUCCAUAAGAAUCUUAAAUCCAUUUGGGAGGUUACAGUUAGGUUUGCAUGGGUACCAUACCUAGAAUUCCCCAAACUGAGGAAUUAUCUGAAUCCAUAGGACACAAUUUCAUUUUAUCCAUUUGCUUUUGGCUGAUGUUGGAUGUAAACUUUAAAGGAAAAAAUACCUAUGCCACUGAGGAAAGUAGAUAACCUGUUCAUUUGACAAAUUGUAACAACAUCACAGGAUCCUGAUAAAUUAUGAAACAUUGAUGAGGUAAACUCAAACUUUCAGAGAGUAGAAUGACACUCUGCACCCAUAUGAGUGUUGAAAAACGCUGCCAUCACUAUUACCCACCUCUACUGUUACCGCCACCAUCACCAUCAUCACCAGCACUGACACCCCAUAAAUAAUGCCAUUGCCACUAUCACUAGUGUAGCCACCACCACCGUUACUACCGCCACCAUCACCAGCACCCUCACAAGCCUUGCCACCACUGUCAUUGUUACCAUGGCCACCAUCACUAGCGCUGUUGCCAAUACACCUUUCUUUCAUCAGUCCAUUGGGGAAAGAACCUAGCAAAAGAAUGUCUGACAGGGAAUAUCCUCUGCACUGGGGGCCACAUCUUCCUAGCAGGUUAAGGGGCAUGGGGUGGUGUGAACUGGAAAGUGCAGUGUUUGUAAACCGACCCACAAUCCUAGCCAUGUCUUGCUCUUCUUCAAUGACGUCAAGUGACAUUGCUUCCUGAACUAAGAAAGCAAUCGGAGACAGCUGAACUCCCAUGGGGAAUGAGGAGAUGAGAAUGCUUAAUUCUUCAUUCAUAAUGGAGAGAGUCAGCAUGUGGAGGAGCGGACGGGUGGGUGAUGACUCAUGUUCCCUGCACAGGGUACAACCCCCGAAUAAGGAGGCUGUUCCUACAGGCAUAUAUGAAAACAAGGCUCAGGAUUGCAGUCACCAGCCGUGGAAGAUCUCUGACUCAUGUGGUUGAUUUCUAAUUCCUUCUGUGGCAGAGCCGUGCCCCGAUUAUGGCCAGUGUGUAAGCUUGAGCAGCUGAGGAGGACAGAUCUGGAGCAAGUUUCCCAAUUCUUUGAGUUUCAGCGUCUUCUGCCAAUUGGGCUCAUUCAGAUUAAGGUAGAAAUGCAUCAUUCAUCACACAGGAUCCUCAAUACUUACCAGGAAUGAUGCUGUGCUUUCCUCAUCUCUCUCAACCCCCUCUGCUUCCCUGGGAAAGAGGUAUUAUCACCAUCUUCAUCUGACAAAUGCAGAAACCAAGCUCAGCAAGAAGGUCACAGAAGACUUCUACUGUACAAUGAGGUUUCUUGAACAUGCAAGCCAUGUGAUCUGCAAACGUUUACACAUCAAUGGGAGAUGAAAAUUGCCCAAACCCCAAAUAGAAAUACAUAUAGAAAAGCUCACCAAGCUGGAACAACUGGACCAUUUCAAAGGAAAUGCAGUUUGAUUAUUUUCAAGUACAUACAGUAACCAGAAAAAUCACUAACAAGUGCUGGUGGUUCAGGCCCAGAUUUAGUCAACAGAUAAAAACAAUUACCAUGUCUAAGAUAUUCUGGUCUUGCUUAUACUUUGAAUAAGUGUUUUACAAAUAAAAGAAACCUCAAGUGUUGCAAAACAAAUUAUUUUCUUUGGUAAGUAAAUGAUUCUUUUCAAAUACUAUUUAUACUAUUCAUUUACUUACUAAGCCAUUUUUCAUAGAUAGCACAGGGUAUACACUUCAGCUCAGUUCCUUUAAAAAGGAAAGAUUAAAAAUGUCCAGAUCAAAAAGCUUUUAUUGUAAAUGUUGAAAUUUCUCAACAGAUUAACUUAUUUGUCUUUUAGUUCUCUAGAGUAUGAUGUUUUGAAUAAAUGUAAAUUUAUAACAUGCGCAGAAUUUUUGAGAAAUGCAAUAUUUUCUCAAGUUACAUGUUUUUAUCAUUCCUGAGUAUCCUUUAUAAUAGAAUGGAAAGACGGAGAAGGUAGGGUUCUGACUCUGGGCUUUGACAACAUUGCUAGUAGGUCUGCUCCAUUCGCUUUGGUGGACCAGAUUCGGCCUGGCUUGGGGCAUGUCUCGGGGGUGUGGGAUCUGUCAGCUGUUAACCCAUGGAAAAUACGUGAAAUGUGUUCCCCCUUAAAGUUAAUGAAUUAUUGCAAACUGAAAAAUGGGAUUUAUUAAAUAUGGUGGUCCUGGACCGUGCCAAAUCAUUGUGGUUUUUUGGGAACACAGCAAGGUAGCCAGUGGUAUUGCAGUGCGGGGUCGCAGCCCGUCCAGCUGUGGAGCACAUGAUCCUUACUUGGGAGGACAAAUGGCAAUAUUUUUCUAUCCCUGGAGUACAUUCUGCUCUUGAUAUGCCUGCAUAACCACAACGAACAUUUAGUGGGAGUUGCAUACAACGGAGACUCAAGGACUACACUUCUGUCGCCCAAACGAAAAUUCCUUUGGUUGAUCUCUGUCCAGAGCAAGAUUUUCCCUAUCACACAAACAACUAUGUUUGUAUUUUAACUCCAUUUUGUCAGGAUGUCUUUCUUUAUAAAAGCCAACCAAACAUCUGUAAUAAAUUUUUGAUGAUGUGGUAGUUGGUUUUCACUGCAUAUUUAUGGAUUCAACCAAAUUCAAAGUUCAGUAAACACAUUUUAAUCGCCUGUUUUCUGACCAGCAGUGUGACCUGCAUAGGCAAUGGAAGAGCAACAGACUGUGUCCCCUGUGAACUUUCUGUUUGGAGAGAUAUGUCAUGUGCAGCUAGAACCAUGAACACACAGAGCGGAAGAGACCUUGGGGGAUCAUGCUGUCUUGGGGUUCAGUGUGCAAACUCAGAGUUUGCACAACUAGUAAAGCAUAGAGACUGGUUGGCACUAUGUCCUGUGUCUGUACCCAGUGCUAAGGGACAGCUUCUUUCUUACUUGGUAAGUUUUCUGGCUUGCAGAAUGUGGGUCUCUUGUUGCCUAAUCUGACUUUUUUCAGAGGCUAGGAUUCCAAGUGUCCUAAAAUUUCCCAAUUUUUCAACCUUGCCAACUAAUUUGAGUUUUCCUAAGAUUAAAUGAAACACAUCUGUGAGCCUUAUCCUACCUCUGGCCUGCCGUUUUGCAGCCUCUGGUCUAGAGUAAUCCUUCUAUUUUUGUAGAUGUAGAAAAUGGCUUUCCAAAGCAUGGGCGCUAUUAUCAGGACUCCCAGUUCAAAGCUCUGUCACUAACUACACCUUUGCUCAACAAGAAAACAACCAGAUGACUCACAAAGAAAGACACUGUAGUUACAAAGCGACAUGUUAAAAGUCUCUUAGGAAAACGAAAUUAGGGUGGGAGGAGAAAUUAGGUGGGAGGAGAAGAAAUGGAGAGUUCAUGGCAGGAAGAAUUGAAGGAGGUUUUUGCAAAUGACCUUCAAGCUAGAUCUUGAAGUAAGCGACUGAUAAAUAUUGACAAAAGAACAACAAAGAGGUAGAGGAGAAUAAAGUGAGGAAAAUACAUGGCUAGGGAUUUACAAAUGGCUUUGCAAGACAGCACAGAGAACAGCUGGCCUGGCUGGGGAGGAAAAGUCAGGCCACUCAUUCAUUCAACAAAUAUUUUUUAAGUUCAAAUAUGUUCCAGGCACUGUUCUAGGCUAUAGGGAUACAAAAGUGCACAGGAGAGCAAGUUCCAGGCUCCAUGUGGGUUAUUUAUUCCAGUGGUAGACAGAUGACAACCAAGUGAACUAGGGUAAGAUAAUACGAAUAAAAUAAAACUAAGAAACGUAAGUAAAGCAGCUGUGAGUGUCCCAAAUUCACUGGGAUGGUCAGGGAAGGCCUCUCUGAUGAGAUGGCAUUGUGCAGAGUCUCUAGUGAUUAGGAACCAGUCAUGCAAUGAACUGAACAAGGAGCUCUCGAGGCAGAGGGAGAGACAGGUGCCCAGGGCCUCUGGUGGGAAGGAACGGAAAGAACGAGUGUGGCUACUGCUGAGGGGGGGUUUGGUAACCGUGGUGGAAAAUGAGUCCGAAAGACAGGCAGGUACCUCUCAGGCCUUGGUAAGGAAUUUGGAAUAAAAUAAGGUUUCUUGCAGGGAGGAAGCAUAAGCUGAUUGUCGAUAGAGCAUUUCCAGCCCAGAUGUAGUUAUCACUUGACACCUGGUAAGAAAAGAGGCAGAUCAUGAUGGUGGUGGAAUUGAAGCUGGGGAGACAGUUGGUUUCUAGGAGAUGCUAUAGAUUCUUAUGGGCAGAGCAAGGAUGAAUACAGGGCCUGGGGUCUCUGCUGUCCAGAGAGCAGAAGGAUUUCAGCCAAAAGUGGUGGAAAAAGUGAAGAAGAAGAAGCACUCUUCAAUGAACACUCAGCCGGAGGACUCCAUGCAGGUCCCAGCGAAGGAAAAGAGCAGAACUACGGACAGGAGCUGCCGAGUCUCAGAGCAGGAGAUCUGUUGGAAGUGGCCUUGGUGAUGAAGAUGAGAGGAUCCUAUCUGGACUUUAUCUUUUAGGGAGUCCUGAGACAUGUCUUAUAGGCAACCAGAAAUACACAAGUAGAGAGGCCUGGGACUGAAAGGACAGGGCAGGAGAAAAAAACCGAAAGUGCUCUUUGUAUCAGUUGAAAUGGAGGCUAACAAGAAGCGGAUCUUCCCGAAGGAAUACAAGGAGGAGAAGCCAGUCGGAGACCAAACUGAAUAUAUCCCAGCACAAGUAGGCAUUUGUCGUUUUGUUUUUUAGACUGAUCUGUUGGUUUAAGGGAAAAAGUCAAAGACCUUUGUGAAUUUGGGCUUGGAAAAAAAUAGCUUGCUGGAAGUCAGAGGCUAUUCUUUAUUGAUUUAAUAAACACAAAUGUUUUAUGAUAAGGAAGUAUGAUCUAGAACAAACUUUAAAGACACAUUCAAUUUAGGCUCAGUUGGAUGGCUUCUAAUAUUUUCCUGAAAACUCCAAUUUCACUAUGGAGUCUAAGGCUGAUAGUCCUGAGCUUAAAAGCUCUCAGUUUGCAAACAAAACAAAACAAAACUUCAGGCAGUCUUUUUAAACAUGUAUUUUUAUUUUUAAUUGCCAUUAUAGUAAAUGUAUAUAUUUAUGGGGUAGAGUAUAACAUUUUAAUACAUGCAUGGAAUGUGUAAGAAUCAGAUCAGUGUAACUGACAUAUCUAUUACCUCAGACAUUUAUCUUUGUGUUGGGAACAUUCAAAACCCUCUCUAGUAUCUAUUUUGAAAUAUUGAGUUAAUUGUUGACAACCAUUAUUAUCCUACCAUGCUAUAGGACAUUAGAAGUUGUUCCUCUCAUCCAACUGCUGUAACCUCUGUAAGCACAACCUCCCCUUCCUGCCAUCUCCCUCCCCCAGAUCCUCCCCAGACUCUGGUAACCACUAUUCUAUUCCCUACUUCUUUGAGGUCAACUGCUUAGCUUCCACGUGUGUUAGUCAGUUUUCCAUGACUGUAAUACCUGAGUAACCAACUUAAAAAGAGGUUUAUUUUGGCUCUCAGUUUCAGAGGAACCAGUCCCUGAUUAGGUGGCCCUGUGGCUUGCAGCUUGUGGUGAGUCAGCACAUGGUAGAUCAACCUACUCUGGACAGCUAGGAACCAAAACGAGAGGAAGAGGAUGGGCCAGAGGCACAAGGCCCCCUUUAAGGGCACGCCCUCCUAUGUCUAGAAGACUUGUAACUGGGCCCAACCUCUGAAAGGUUUCACACCUCUCAGGACACCAUGGUCUGGGCACCAAUCCCAAGCCUUUAACAUGUGGGCCUUUGGAAGUCUUAUCCAAACUGUAGCCACCUGUAAGGGAGAACACGUCCUACCUGUCUUUGUGUGCCUGACCUAUUUCACUUAACAUAAAGUCCUCCAGUGCUGGCUGUGUUGCUGCAAAUGGCAGAAUUUCAUUCUUCUUAUGGCUGAAUAGUAUUCCACUGGGCCAUAUACCAUGUUUUCUUUAUCCAUUCAUCUGUCAGUAGACACUAAGGUUCAUUGUCUUGGCUCUUGUGAAUAGAGCUGCCAUAAACAUGGGAGUAUAGAUGUCUCUUAGGCAUAUUCUCUUCAAUUCUUGGAUUUAUACCCAGUGGUAUGAUUGCUGAAUCAUAUGGUGGUUCUAUUUCUAGGUUUUUGGGUUCUCUCUCUCUCUCUCUCUCUCUCUGUGUGUGUGUGUGUGGUGCUGGGGAUUAUACCCAGGGCCUUGUGCAUACCAGCUCUAUCAGCUGAGCUAUACCCCAGACCUAUUUCUAGUUUUUUUUUUUUAAUAAUUUUUUAUUCUUUUUUUUUUUAAUAUUUAUUUUUUAGUUUUUGGCGGACACAACAUCUUUGUUUGUAUGUGGUGCUGAGGAUCGAACCCGGGCCGCACGCAUGCCAGGCGAGCGCGCUACCUCUUGAGCCACAUCCCCAGCCCCUCUAGUUUUUUUUUUUGAGGAAACUCCACAGUUUUUCAUAAUGGCUGCACUAAUUUACAUUCUUACCAACAGUGCAUGAGAGUUCCCCUUUCUCUACACCCUCACCAGAGUUUGUUAGUUGUUUUUUUGAUGACAGCCGUUCUAACUGGAGUCCCACGAUAUCUCUUUGUGGUUUUGAUUUGCAUUUCCCUGAUUGCUGAUGUUGGGCACCUUUCCUACACCUGUUGGCCAUUUGUAUACCCUCUUUUGAGAAAUGUCUAUUUAGGUCCCUUGCCCAUUUUUAAAUCAGAUGAUUUGUUUUGGGUUUUUUUUUUUCUUUCGCUGUUGAAUUGUUUGAGUUUCUUAUAUGUUCUGUGACAUAAUCCCUUGCUAGAUGGAGAAUCUGCAGUUAUCUCCUUCUGAUCCACAGGAGCUGUUCUUUCUCUGUCCAGUGCUUCCUCCAUUCUGCAGAAGACUAUGGUUGGGUGAAACCCUGUCACCUUUGCUUUUGUCACCAUACUUUUGGGGUCAUAUCCAAAGAAUCUGCCCAGACCAAAGUCCUGGAUCAAUUUCUCAGGCAGCCUUUUAAACCAGCUCUUUAACCAUGAAAAAAUAUUAAUUUUAUCUUUCAACAAAAGUUAAAUUUGACAAGGUCUUUACUAGUAGGAGAGUAAUUGUUUUAGUCUAGCACAGAGCAGGAGAUAAUGUAAAGAAGCAGGAUUUGAGUGUUGGACCCAUGACUACUGUCAGUCAAUUCCUCUUAAAAAGAGGAAUCAGCACCAUCAAUUGAUUAAGGUGGGAAAAAGCAAUGACUAGCAUUGCCAUUCGAGUUGCCACUGUGUGUCUUCUUCAAAGAAAUUCAAAGAAAAUUAACGAGACCACUCAAGAAAAUUCUAAAGGAAUUUUUUAAAACUAUUUUUUAAAAAUGUUUCUUUUAUUAUUUUUUUAUUUGUGUUUGGGAAAACUACUAUUGUUUUGUAAACAUUACAUGUUUGCCAGUGUUCAUCAUUAAGAAUCAAAACAGCAUAAAUCUGAAUGUAGGGAAAAUCAUCUCAAUUUCCACCCCAUGACAUUAUCAUUUUUAAGAGUAUAAAAAUAUUUUCCAGGUGGGAGGAUGGGUAGGUAAAAAUGUAGUAGGGAUUUGGAGGCUGAGGCAGGAGGAUCACGAGUUCAAAGCCAGCCUCAGCAAAAGUGAGGUGCUCAGCAACUCAGUGAGACCCUGUCUCUAAAUAAAAUACAAAAUAGGGCUGGGGAUGUGGCUCAGUGCUGGAGAGUCCCUGAGUUCAAUCCCCAGUACCAAAAGAGGAGUAGGGAGAUAGAGAAUUGUUUUAUCUUAUGUUUUUGGUGCUUGGAUGGAACCGGGAACGCACAUGCGUGAGGCAGUGCCCUACCACUGAGUUCUACCCCUAGCCCGGAGAAUGGCUUUUAAAAAAGUUGGAUUCUGUGGUGCUUUGUACAAUGUAUUACAUGUAAUUUGACCUGGAUUUCAAUACAGUAAAAAGAAAAAGAAAAGGCAAAAAUAAGUUGAAAAAAAGGUAGAAUAAAUAUUGGGAACCCUGAGAGGCCCUUGCUCUUUGGCCUCGGUGACCCUGUACAAGGUGUGCUAAUUUGUGAUUUAAUAGACAUUGAUCAGGUUUAUGUGCAUUACGUUAAGGUACAUAUUGAACACUUCAUUUUGAUAUAUUACCCUCAUUAACUUUCAUGUUUAAUCCAAUUCAGUUAUAGUGUAUGGGAGCGUCUUUUGUGGGAACAUACUUUCCAUUGAUACAGGCUAAAAGCUGGGAGAGAUAAAAUGAUCCAGGAAGUUCUCUCUUUGCAUGAUCCAGGAUAUGCAUGAACUUCAUCUACCACAUUUUCAUUAAAUAAUGCCUGUUCUCCACUAAGAAUUCAAGUUUCAGUUACCAAGGUCUAUUCAUCAUUAACUGUAUAAAGUACAAACUCCGCUACACACAAAUCACUACGUAAAUAGCGAAUGCACAUCAGGAUCCCUGGACAACAAGUCACUUCCUAGAGACAGGGAUGGGCCCCUAUGUGUCUGUGGUUGUCACCCUUAGAGAGCAAGGCGAGCAGCUAUGUUUCCUUCUUAUCUCCCAGUGAUUCUCCCUGGUGAUAUUUCUGCAAGGGGCUAUCAAAGAAGUGAAUUGAAACAGAGAUGAAAGUGCAGGAGGAAAUGAAAAGUGACGGUGCUGGAGGUGCCACUUGAGUUCAGGGUGGAUGGCGCCACUGAGGACAGAGCUGAUGGGGCCACUGGGACACUGCAGGGUUUGCAGAGCCUCUGGGUCUGCAGCUGGGCAGGAUGCAGGAAAACACUUCACAUUAAAGAAACCUUCGGAGAAAUGUCCUGACGGUAAAAGGGCAGACACUACACUGUGGGGAAGGAAUCUAAACGUAGAAAGGAACAUGACAAGGUGCCACGUGUAGGAAAGAGAUGGUGAGCUGUGUAGAGGAAAGACCAGUGCUGUGGGCUGCCCUGGAUGAGUUCUGGAAGAAGCAGGGUGCUGGAGUCUGCGGUGUCUCUAAGGUUUUCAUUAAGGUGCACUGAGGACACGUCAGUUUUGUUGUUUUCAUUUUCCUGUACAUUCACAAUCGACUAUGGGAGAGAUUUUUAUGUUCUCACAAGCCUCUUUCAAGUUCUGGAAUGAUCAUUCAUGCUGAUAUUGAAACUGCUUCCCACGGCCCUGCGGGUGGGUGGUUUCCACAGUCCUCAUCUGCUGUGCAAAGACAGCUCGGCCUGGACUUCAUGUAUCGUGCAGAUUAGCACGAAUAUAUAUUUUUGUCCCCAUAUCAUGUAUCUUGACUCCCUCGUUAGAUUUUAAGCUACUUACUUGCAGGAAUAAGACCUUCUACAUUGCCCACUCCACCUGGCAUAGCACUGAACAUUUGCUAAGUACUUAGUUGACUUCUUAAUCACUUAUUCUUAUGGUGAAUGACCGGGUAUUAGUAAAGUGUGAAGUCAUAAUAAUAAAUACUAUUUGUUUCAUUAGAGAGUAAGUUUUUCCCAUUUUAUUUUUCACAGUUAGGGCUACAAAAUAUGGCCCCAGAUUGUUUCCUGCCAGUUCCAGGUGUCUGUUCCUGUGGAGGAGGAAGCCAAUGGUGGGGGAUCUGCCUUUGUACAACCUGUGCCAGCUCAGGGCAGCCUGGUACAAUCCCUAGCCCCUUAAACAAUGCCUGCCACAGCAGAGGCACAUCAUGGAUGAUUUAAAUAAAAAUUAUUAUGACUGUGCAUUGCACAUUACUCUGUGCCAGAUGUUUUACAUUCAUUUUCUCAUUUAAUCCUUAUGAUAAUUCUAUGGCCCCCAUAUUACAGAUGAGAAAAGCUUGGCUCAGAUAUUAAGUGCCUCACCCAGAAUGGGCAUGUUGGAGCUGGAAGUUGAAUCAGGGCUGUCUUUCUGUGUCUGGGCCAUUACCCUGAUGAUAAGCUGGCAGCAGGGCCAUCGUGUGAUGUAGAAAUGGGUUAUAGAGAAAGAUGAUACGAGUAAAUGAUCUCUUCCAAUUCAUUCUUUUUCUUUUCUUUUUUUUUUUUUUAAAUCAUGGAGGAAUAUUUCUUGCCAGAUUUAUUUUUGAAAUUAUUCCAGUUAUAAUUUCUUUUAAGAUAUUUCUUUUUAAAAGCCCUUUAAAAAAACACAAAAUGUAAUUCCUAUAAUGAUAGCUUGAAAUAGAAACAGCCAUCAAUCACAUGAUGACUAUUUAGAAAAACCUCUGUUCGUGGGCCACUUUAUGAAGUUUUUCUGUUCUAUAAACUAGGGGUAUGUGUGCACAACACUGCUUACAUUUUAAAACAAGUUCAAGUUAAAAGAAACCCAUUUGUUCUGCGUUGGUGUCCCCCCCAGGAGCUCUAGGUCGUUCUGGCUGAUGUGAGGGCUGCAGGGAGAGGUGUCGCUGCAGCUCGUACGCCCUGCGUGCUUCUGCUCACUUUCACUUCCUGCCUAAGCAGCAGCACCUCACAUGGACCACAGAAGGCUUCCUGGAAGACAUGCCCUAUUGCACGUGAGGAUUCAAGAGCCAACUGGGCCCCGGUGGAUGCCAUGGAACCAGCUGGCAGACCUGCGACUGUGGAGAGCUCUCCUCAUGCUCAGCUUGGCAAAGCUGCUCCUCUUGCUUGUUCUCCUUUUCUUUGUACAUAAUAAAAUGGGCUUUUGAUUACUCUUCUCCCCAGAAAAUAUACAUAUAUAUGCUGUUUGGUGGAAGACUUGAGUCCACUGUUGAACAGAAAUGUGUCUUUCUGUCUGUUUCUCUCUGCUUCCAGUUUCUCAAUCUCUGUCUCCCCUUUCCUCUUGUAUCCCAAGGAUUCUGUUAUAAAAGCUUGUGUGUGAGAACGAGACCUUUGUUCUCUAGACUUCUUGCUGUGUGCAAUUCACAAUUCCCUUUCUGCCCUUGGCCUUCCUUCAGAUCUUCACAGUUGUCUUCCUCUUUUUUAAGCCA
Molecule: long non-coding RNA, 16625 nt
Filed under: Marmota monax (woodchuck)
Lineage: Eukaryota; Metazoa; Chordata; Mammalia; Rodentia; Sciuridae
Source: RNAcentral